UACGGAGGGUGCGAGCGUUGUCCGGAAUUAUUGGGCGUAAAGAGCUUGUAGGCGGUUUGUCGCGUCUGCUGUGAAAAUCCGGGGCUCAACCCCGGACUUGCAGUGGGUACGGGCAGACUAGAGUGUGGUAGGGGAGACUGGAAUUCCUGGUGUAGCGGUGAAAUGCGCAGAUAUCAGGAGGAACACCGAUGGCGAAGGCAGGUCUCUGGGCCACUACUGACGCUGAGAAGCGAAAGCAUGGGGAGCGAACAGG
This 253-nucleotide ribosomal RNA is filed under the name uncultured bacterium. Its description in RNAcentral is "partial 16S ribosomal RNA". It matches the Rfam family "Bacterial small subunit ribosomal RNA", at positions 524 to 776 of the family's 1533-position model. The record is from RNAcentral.